AGGAUUAACGCUGGCGGCGUGCCUGACACAUGCAAGUCGAACGAGGCCGCAAGGCCGAGUGGCGGACGGGUGAGUAACACGUGACCAACCAACCUCGAAGUUGGGAAUAGCUCUGCGAAAGUAGGGGUAAUACCGAAUGUGGCCCAGGGCGGGCAUCCGCCUUGGUCUAAAGAUUCAUCGCUUCGAGACGGGGUCGCGGCCUAUUAGCUUGUUGGUGAGGUAACGGCUCACCAAGGCGAUGAUGGGUAGCUGGUCUGAGAGGACGACCAGCCACACUGGGACUGAGACACGGCCCAGACUCCUACGGGAGGCAGCAGUGAGGAAUCUUCCGCAAUGGGCGAAAGCCUGACGGGGCAACGCCGCGUGUGGGAUGAAGACUCUAGGGUUGUAAACCACUGUCGGAGGGGACGAUCGUGACGGUACCCUCCAAGAAACGCCCCGGCUAACUACGUGCCAGCAGCCGC
Molecule: ribosomal RNA, 464 nt
Filed under: uncultured bacterium
Lineage: Bacteria
Description: SSU rRNA
Rfam family: Bacterial small subunit ribosomal RNA
Source: RNAcentral